ACGGAAGGCAGCAGUGGGGAAUAUUGGACAAUGGGGGAAACCCUGAUCCAGCGACGCCGCGUGAGUGAAGAAGUAUUUCGGUAUGUAAAGCUCUAUCAGCAAGGAAGAAAAUGACGGUACUUGACUAAGAAGCUCCGGCUAAAUACGUGCCAGCAGCCGCGGUAAUACGUAUGGAGCAAGCGUUAUCCGGAUUUACUGGGUGUAAAGGGAGCGUAGACGGCAAAGCAAGUCUGAAGUGAAAUCUAUGGGCUCAACCCAUAAACUGCUUUGGAAACUGUUUAGCUAGAGUGCAGGAGAGGUAAGUGGAAUUCCUAGUGUAGCGGUGAAACGCGUAGAUAUUAGGAGGAACACCAGUGGCGAAGGCGGCUUACUGGACUGUAACUGACGUUGAGGCUCGAAAGCGUGGGGAGCAAACAGGAUUAGAUACCCUGGUA
RNAcentral lists this ribosomal RNA (434 nucleotides) under uncultured Lachnospiraceae bacterium. Its description in RNAcentral is "partial 16S ribosomal RNA". It matches the Rfam family "Bacterial small subunit ribosomal RNA", at positions 341 to 792 of the family's 1533-position model. The record is from RNAcentral. Lineage: Bacteria; Bacillati; Bacillota; Clostridia; Lachnospirales; Lachnospiraceae.